GAACAGGGCCUCGUCGCCCCGCUACCGCCCUGAGGCUGACCGGCUCCUGAGGCUGACCGGCUCCUGCACAGGCCUAGAACCCCGGUGGUCUCAGCGCCCCCAGGAGCUCCCUGAAUCUUCUUUCUACCCUUCCCCAUCUCAAGGUUGGCUGGGUCUGAGGCAGGGCUCGAGGCAGCGCCGCCCUGGCCUCACCAGCUCUGGGAGAAUUCUAGUGGGACAUUGUGGAGAAAGAGAAAUACUUUGAGAUGCAUGAGGAAAAUGUUAAAAAUGAUCAUGGAAGCAAGACUUAUCAUAAUCAGAUCCUUACUGAGUCCCUUUAUGGCAGGUCCUGUGCUGAGGAAUCACUGAUGAACUGGCACUGACACAGUCGCUGUGCUGGGGAGCUUCCUUCCGGUGGAGCAGUCGGCGUGAGUCAAAUAUUUCCUUUGGAUGACACAUAGGCUGGUGCUUCCUUUCUUUCCCCUGGGCCUAACAAUCUUGGCAGUUUCUCAUUUUGGGGUCCCAAGUGGUGAGGUUUCCAUGUAGCCAUCCCUUUCCCUGAUAAAGGGAGCCUCAGAUAUUAUGCACUCUCAUCUUCUGCAGAUUUCAUCAGGAAAAAGAGAAAUCCUGAACGACAUUAAAUAAAGACAUUUCAGCCAAGGCUACCAAGUGCCUUUCAUCAUGGACCAAAAAUGCCUCCUUUAUUCAGAUGUUUUUGCUCUAAGAAGAAGACCCAUUGUCUGCUACCUGCCUCUGCCCUAGCUCACCCAAUUAAAAUCUGGUGUCUUGUCUCGAUCUUCAAGCAGUCCACUACUGACCCUCAGGCUGCUUGUGGUUGAUCUCCAUGGUGACCUCAUCAUUAACCUGUGUAGGUCCCUCUGUAUUAACAGAGAAAACCAGGGUUGAUAUUCUGAUUAGAGAGGACAGGUAGCAAUGGAACGAUGCAGCCUUUGAAGUUUAACCAAAACACUGUCACCACUUUAGAGUUGUUUCUCAGAGGACAAAAUGUUUAUUUUAAUGUAAUGGGUACAGAACCCAUUACCAGUCCAUGAGUGAAGAUAUUAGUAGAAUGCCUAGAAACACAAAUAUUGUCAAAUAAUACAAACUCUAUAUUUAAAUCAAAUACUAUACAAUGGACAUCUUUCAUUGUCUCUAGCUAUCUAUCAUUCAUUCCAUCGUUUGACCUGUGAACAAAAAAAGGGGCUAUGUGGUAAAUCUGACAAGCACAGUCAGCAAAAGUAACCCUCACAGGGUGAUAUAAUCUUAAAUUCUAAACUGUGCAGGUCAUAGUGCACAGUCAGGCCUCUGGCCUGUAAGUUCCUUAGUGAAAGGUUUAUCUUUGGCUUAAGCAAGCCCUGGCCAUUAUUUGUGUACAUCUAGGUUAAUACACUUUUGAAAUGCCAGAAUAAUCUUCUCUUUUAGACCCUUCUGAAGCCACCCUCAAGGGAGUACAUGGCCUUGCUACCUGUAUACCAUCCCAAUUUACUGUAAAUGCUAAAUGUUAACAAUCUUGUACCCAGCAUUGGAAAUGCUGUAUGUAUCUCUCCAUUUUACUUUUUGCCCAAUCAUAGGGAUUUCUCUAGUUUGCAUUUUCCUACCUCCUAAAUCUACCCCCAGUGGAUUUCUUGGAGUCUUUCCUAUGUUCUCUCAUUUGAUUUCAAAUGCAUACAAAAGACCUGCAAACUGUUACUCUGAGUGUUUUCUUAGACUUGAGAUCUUCCUUCUAGGCAUGUCUUCAGUUUGGCUCAAAUAAAUUCAUAAAAUUUGCUAUAGGUUUGGACGUUCUUAUGUCAACAGAUAUAAUUCAUUUAACACUUUCCUUCUCUCCUAUUGAUGGUCAUUUAAGUAUUUUUAUUUACAAACAAUAUUGCAAUGAGUAUCUUUGCACAUCUAUCUUUACAAAUGUGUACUAUUAUUAUAAAACUAAUUUUUGGAAAUGGAACUCCUUGUUGAAAAAAGUUAUUCCAAUGUUUACUCCCUGUAGUGAAUGAGAAUAUGCAUUUCCACAUAAGUUGUUAACCAGCUGAUUUCAUAAGUAAAAUGUGGUCUAAUUGCUGUUUUUCCAACAUUUAGAACCAAAUGUGCCAGGAAAUUUACAUACACAGUUGGAAUUAAUUUCCUUCUUGCAAAAAUAGUGAGGUAAGAAUUUCUAACCUUUUUACAAUUGAAAAACAAAAUGUGAGUUAGCUGUGUGCUCUUAGGCAAAUAAUUUAAGUACUCUGUAUUUUCAAUGUACCUAGUAGAAAACAGAAGUUGUGAUACUAUCCUUAUCUACUACCUGGGUGUGAUGGUCUGUUUUAUGUGCCAAUUUAGGUAGGCAAUCAAACAGUAAUUUAGGUGUUGCCAUGCAGGCAUUUUAUAGAUGUGAUAAAAAUUCAUAUCAGUUGACUUCAAGUAAGGGAGAUUAGAUAAUUUGGGUGGGUCUGUCUUAAUCAGUUGAAGCAUCUUAUGAACAGAACUGAGGCUUCCCUGAGGAAAUCCCAGGUGUGGAUUCAGUUGAGCCCCAGAGUUCCUGAUGGCCUGCCUCACAGAUUUCAGGCUUGCCUAGCCAGCCCUACAACUGCAUUAAAAAAUUAAAACUAAUUUGUUUUAAUAAAUCUACAUAUUUCUUAUUGGUUCUGAAACCAGAAAAGUCAGUGUUCAUGGUGCCUGUCACUACCAGAAUCAAUAAGUAGAGACAAGGACUGAAUAUUUAUGGGUGCUUUGUUCAGAUGGCUGGCAAUCUGAGAACACAGCGUGUUAUGUGCCCUCAAAAACCAUCGUAUAAAUGGUAAUAUAAAAAAAUACAAUAAAGAUUAUAUUUUAAAAAACCCCAUCUUAACAUCUCCUUUCAAGCCAUUUUUUUAUAAGGAGAAGAAAUGGUGGGUAAGAGGUUUGGGAAAAGGCUAAACUGGAUAAGAGUUGUAGUUCGGCAGCGAUUUUCUUAGUACUUCUUAAUUGGCAUCAUGACUGUUCCCUCCCUGGAACACAGUGGCUCAAAUACUGUCUCCAUGGCUUGCAGAACUCCUGGGGUACAAAGGUUGAAUUGCUUGUGACAUCCUAGAGUCACAUGGUCAUGCAUUCUAGUUCCUGGAAUAACAGUUUUUCAUGUGGAUCGGUCAGUUAAGCCUAUCAACAAAGGCUGAAAUCUUUAGUGAGUUCCCCUAUCAGUUCUGUCUCUCUGGUCGAACACAAUGGGGAUGUGUUAAAAAUAAAAGUGCUACAAGGUAUUUUAUGGUUCCUGCCAGAUGUAUGAUGGACAUGAUACUAUUACAGUUGAAAUGUGCU
Long non-coding RNA from Pteronotus mesoamericanus, 3246 nucleotides. RefSeq lists it as uncharacterized. The record is from RefSeq and is a predicted model, not a curated record. The transcript has 3 exons. NCBI's taxonomy places the organism in Eukaryota, Metazoa, Chordata, Mammalia, Chiroptera, Mormoopidae.